AUUUUUCAUCCAGCCAUUAGCUAAGGAUGGAAUUUAUUCACCUCAUCUCUCCUGCAUAUAUUUAACUCCUUUGUUAACAUCACCAGCUAGAACUGCUGCUAUGGGAAGAUACCAUCAGCAGUCCCUAGACCACAGGGUCUUGAGUUAUGUUUUACAAAAACAUCUGACAGCUCCAGCAACACCACUCAUCUCUUGGCUGCCCACAAGCAGUGAGGACAGAGCUGGGGUACAGCACAGGGCUGGGGGCCUCCAGCACCACACAUGGCUACCAGUGCCCUGCCACUCACACUGUUUUGGCCUUCAACAGCCCCUGGUGCUGCAGCCCCAUCAGGCUUUGGAGCUCUUUCAACUGGCUUUUUUACAGCAGCAUUCAGUAUGUUGGUCUGCUGUGUAAGGCUAGUUCCCAUACUAUCUACUUGCUGUAGAUUGAAGCUGAAGCACAACGCUCAAAUCCAGAGUCCUUCAGUCCUUCAUCCUGGGCUCCUGACAGAAGUUUCGCAAUGCUUAACUCUAACUAUCACCCUGCUUUCUAAUGAUCUUCCUACUAAUCACCCUUCUGGAAAUUUCAAAUUGAACUUGACCACCUGAGCUACUGUAUUCCUCAUCUCUGAAGAUACACUGCAUAACUUGAUACUCGGAGUGACAAAUUUACUUUCUCCCUGUGAAACAUUGAGGGAAAAAUCUGAAAAGUGCAAAACGCUGACAUCUUUUGAUAACUUGCUCUGGCCUUUUAUUAUUUACUCUAUAUUAAACAGUGUAGUAUUUAUACUACCAACUUUUUCAUUAGAAUAGCAGUUAUAAUUACUCUGGGUUUUACUACUGUUAUCUGCAAGUUCUCAUGAUAAACAUUAUCAAGGACAUAUCCCUUUACUUGACAAAAAGAAGCUCUCUUCCUGUUAAUUUAUUUACUUGGGGUUUGGAAGAACUUGAACAGCAGAGUAAGCACUGUAAGCAAAUAAGUUAUUAAAAGCAUAUUAGGAAUGAUUUAGAAUGGUUCCACAAACUGGAACCUGUAAUGGGAAAGACUAGAGGAUGACCCCUAUGAAGAACAGUGCAGAGCAAGGAAGAGUGGAGAUAUCCCAAGAUAUUUCUGUUAGUACAUCCCAGAGCACACACAUCCCCUGGCACCUCAGAGCAAUGCUACAGGACUGGUGCCAAGACUGCUCAUUUAUUAAUUUAUUCUACCUGCAAAAGGAUAUGAAGAAUCUGACACUUUGGGGUUAGUGAUUUAUUUAAAUUCUUCCUUACUUCUAUCUUCAUUUUAUUUUGUUUCCUCUUAACAUUACUUCUGAAUGAGAUCAAAAUAUGCUUAAUCAUUAAAAAGUACCUGACACUUUCUGUAAAAGCAGUAAUAUUUGCUUUUGUUGUAGCUUCUGCUGUAGAAAGAGUAGAGUUAGAAGCAAUAAAUAUUGAAGCUCAAGGAGAAAGGCUGGGGAUUAAUUUGAAUGAUUUCUACACACAAUAGAGUUUCAGUACAUAACACCCAUCUUUCAAUAUGUUUAAUACAAUGCAGCUGGUAUUAAUUCUUACUUGCUGUAGCAUAUAUUGCUAAUUAAACAGUUCUGUCCUGCUCUAAUUUCUGUUUAGUUGUUUGCAUAUAUUUCCUUAUUUUGUGCUGGCACAUUGAAUUGGUGAUUUGUCCCCUUGAUGUAAGCAGAAUUGAAAGAGGCAAUAGCUGAACACAAGCUGCAUUGGGAAAGU
Anas platyrhynchos (mallard) is the source of this 1701-nucleotide long non-coding RNA. RefSeq lists it as uncharacterized. The record is from RefSeq and is a predicted model, not a curated record. NCBI's taxonomy places the organism in Eukaryota, Metazoa, Chordata, Aves, Anseriformes, Anatidae.